AAUAAGUUAAAUAAGAGCGCAUGGUGGAUGCCUAGGCUCUCAGAGGCGAAGAAGGACGUGAUAAGCUGCGAAAAGUUGUGGGGAGAAGCACAUAUUUUAUGAUCCGCAAAUAUCCGAAUGGGGCAACCUGGCUACGUGAAGCGUAGUGAUCACGUUUAUACGUGAGGCAAACCUGGUGAACUGAAACAUCUAA
Molecule: ribosomal RNA, 193 nt
Filed under: uncultured Flavobacteriaceae bacterium
Lineage: Bacteria; Pseudomonadati; Bacteroidota; Flavobacteriia; Flavobacteriales; Flavobacteriaceae
Description: partial 23S ribosomal RNA
Rfam family: Bacterial large subunit ribosomal RNA
Source: RNAcentral